This 66-nucleotide transfer RNA is filed under the name Leuconostoc carnosum JB16. RNAcentral describes it as "tRNA-Val (TAC) (tRNA-Val-TAC-2-1)". It matches the Rfam family "tRNA", at positions 5 to 66 of the family's 71-position model. Rfam says of the family: Transfer RNA (tRNA) molecules are approximately 80 nucleotides in length. Their secondary structure includes four short double-helical elements and three loops (D, anti-codon, and T loops). Further hydrogen bonds mediate the characteristic L-shaped molecular structure. tRNAs have two regions of fundamental functional importance: the anti-codon, which is responsible for specific mRNA codon recognition, and the 3' end, to which the tRNAs corresponding amino acid is attached (by aminoacyl-tRNA synthetases). tRNAs cope with the degeneracy of the genetic code in two manners: having more than one tRNA (with a specific anti-codon) for a particular amino acid; and 'wobble' base-pairing, i.e. permitting non-standard base-pairing at the 3rd anti-codon position. Lineage: Bacteria; Bacillati; Bacillota; Bacilli; Lactobacillales; Lactobacillaceae. The record is from RNAcentral.
GCUUAGCUCAGCUGGGAGAGCACCUGCCUUACAAGCAGGGGGUCACAGGUUCGAUCCCUGUAGCUC